This 570-nucleotide ribosomal RNA is filed under the name uncultured bacterium. Its description in RNAcentral is "bacterial SSU rRNA". It matches the Rfam family "Bacterial small subunit ribosomal RNA", at positions 102 to 660 of the family's 1533-position model. The record is from RNAcentral.
ACGGGUGAGUAACACGUAAGGAACCUGCCUCAAGGAUUGGGAUAACUCCGAGAAAUCGGAGCUAAUACCGGAUAGUUCAUCGGACCGCAUGGUCCGUUGAUGAAAGGCGCUCCGGCGUCACCUUGAGAUGGCCUUGCGGUGCAUUAGCUAGUUGGUGGGGUAACGGCCCACCAAGGCGACGAUGCAUAGCCGACCUGAGAGGGUGAUCGGCCACACUGGGACUGAGACACGGCCCAGACUCCUACGGGAGGCAGCAGUAGGGAAUCUUCCACAAUGGACGAAAGUCUGAUGGAGCAACGCCGCGUGAGUGAUGAAGGUUUUCGGAUCGUAAAACUCUGUUGUAAGGGAAGAACACGUACGAGAGGGAAUGCUCGUACCUUGACGGUACCUUACGAGAAAGCCACGGCUAACUACGUGCCAGCAGCCGCGGUAAUACGUAGGUGGCAAGCGUUGUCCGGAAUUAUUGGGCGUAAAGCGCGCGCAGGCGGCCUUUUAAGUCUGAUGUGAAAGCCCCCGGCUCAACCGGGGAGGGCCAUUGGAAACUGGAAGGCUUGAGUACAGAAGAGAAGA